RNAcentral lists this ribosomal RNA (404 nucleotides) under uncultured prokaryote. RNAcentral's name for it is "bacterial SSU rRNA". It matches the Rfam family "Bacterial small subunit ribosomal RNA", at positions 355 to 776 of the family's 1533-position model. The record is from RNAcentral. RNAcentral also lists the same sequence under 1 other name.
UGGGGAAUAUUGGACAAUGGGCGCAAGCCUGAUCCAGCCAUGCCGCGUGUGUGAUGAAGGCCUUAGGGUUGUAAAGCACUUUCACCGAUGAAGAUAAUGACGGCAGUCGGAGAAGAAGCACCGGCUAACUUCGUGCCAGCAGCCGCGGUAAUACGAAGGGGGCUAGCGUUGGUCGGAAUUACUGGGCGUAAAGCGCACGUAGGCGGAUUGGUCAGUUAGGGGUGAAAUCCCAGGGCUCAACCCUGGAACUGCCUUUAAUACUGCCAGUCUUGAGUUCGAGAGAGGUGAGUGGAAUUCCGAGUGUAGAGGUGAAAUUCGUAGAUAUUCGGAGGAACACCAGUGGCGAAGGCGGCUCACUGGCUCGAUACUGACGCUGAGGUGCGAAAGCGUGGGGAGCAAACAGG